This 815-nucleotide long non-coding RNA is filed under the name Homo sapiens (human). RNAcentral's name for it is "KCNQ5 antisense RNA 1". Lineage: Eukaryota; Metazoa; Chordata; Mammalia; Primates; Hominidae. The record is from RNAcentral.
GGGGGAAGCCAGCUGCAUGUCAUAUGGACAUUCAGGCAACCUAGGGUGUGAAUAAUGUGGCAAGGAAAUAAAAGGCCUGCUAGCAAAUGCUCAGUUGAGCUUGGUAAUGGGUCCUCUCCCAGCAUCUCCAGCCAAGAGCUUGACUGCAACCUCAUAUGAGAUUUUGAGCCAUAACCAUUCAGCUAAACUGCUUCUGGAUACCUGACCAUAGAAACUGUGAGAUUAUAAGAGAAGCAGAUCUUAGGGGGACAAGAGUACAUAUGAAACACAGCAGAGGAGUAGGAUAUGUCUUUGAAUGAAGAUGCCUGAGGGACUGAAUAAAGAACCUGGACAACUAAAGAAAAAAGACACCUAUGGAUCAGAAUUGAGACAAUUUCUUCAGCUACUUAAUUUUUUUUCUUGUAAAAAAAGAACUUCCAGUUUCCCAAGACGCAACAUUGAAUUCAAUCAGAGGUAAAGAUUCUGGACUAUUGGAUUAAAUGAGGAGGCAGGAGCUACUAUCUCUUGCAGUGAAAUUAUGCCAUUCAUUAGAAGGUGAUACUGUCAUCAAUGUGAGAGGCCCAGGACUCUGCAGGGCCUGAAGAAAUCCUGGGCAAUGAGUCUGAGGGAAGUCUCUCAGAGCAGCUACUCUGAGAGAGUAAAGCCGCAGCCUUUGUGGGGUAUGAAAGCAGCGUUCUCAUGGAUAAGGCUUAUUUGAGACGAAGUGGAGGCCUUGUUUUGUCCACUUACCGCAAUGUCCACUGUCCCCAACUGCAGCAUGCCAACAGCAAAUGUGUUUAGUGGAUAUGUGCUUUGUAGCUAACAAGAAACAGUAA